UGGGGUGCUCGAGUGGCGAACGGGUGAGUAACACGUGAGUAACCUGCCCUUGACUUUGGGAUAACUUCAGGAAACUGGGGCUAAUACCGGAUAGGAGCUCCUGCUGCAUGGUGGGGGUUGGAAAGUUUCGGCGGUUGGGGAUGGACUCGCGGCUUAUCAGCUUGUUGGUGGGGUAGUGGCUUACCAAGGCUUCGACGGGUAGCCGGCCUGAGAGGGUGACCGGCCACAUUGGGACUAAGAUACGGCCCAG
Molecule: ribosomal RNA, 250 nt
Filed under: uncultured Actinomycetales bacterium
Lineage: Bacteria; Bacillati; Actinomycetota; Actinomycetes; Actinomycetales
Description: partial 16S ribosomal RNA
Rfam family: Bacterial small subunit ribosomal RNA
Source: RNAcentral